GUAUCCUGGCUCAGGAUGAACGCUAGCGACAGGCUUAACACAUGCAAGUCGAGGGGCAGCAUGAACUUAGCUUGCUAAGUUUGAUGGCGACCGGCGCGCGGGUGAGUAACGCGUAUGCAACUUGCCUAUCAGAGGAGAAUAGCUCAUCGAAAGAUGAAUUAAUGCUCCAUAAAACAGGGGUUCCGCAUGGGAAUAUUUGUUAAAGAUUCAUCGCUGAUAGAUAGG
This 225-nucleotide ribosomal RNA is filed under the name uncultured bacterium. RNAcentral's name for it is "partial 16S ribosomal RNA". It matches the Rfam family "Bacterial small subunit ribosomal RNA", at positions 14 to 229 of the family's 1533-position model. The record is from RNAcentral.